RNAcentral lists this ribosomal RNA (468 nucleotides) under uncultured bacterium. RNAcentral's name for it is "partial 16S ribosomal RNA". It matches the Rfam family "Bacterial small subunit ribosomal RNA", at positions 28 to 507 of the family's 1533-position model. The record is from RNAcentral.
GACGAACGCUGGCGGCGUGCUUAACACAUGCAAGUCGAACGGAAAGGCCCUGCUUUCGUGGGGUGCUCGAGUGGCGAACGGGUGAGUAACACGUGAGUAACCUGCCCUUGACUUUGGGAUAACUUCAGGAAACUGGGGCUAAUACCGGAUAGGAGCUCCUGCUGCAUGGCGGGGGUUGGAAAGUUUCGGCGGUUGGGGAUGGACUCGCGGCUUAUCAGCUUGUUGGUGGGGUAGUGGCUUACCAAGGCUUUGACGGGUAGCCGGCCUGAGAGGGUGACCGGCCACAUUGGGACUGAGAUACGGCCCAGACUCCUACGGGAGGCAGCAGUGGGGAAUAUUGCACAAUGGGCGGAAGCCUGAUGCAGCAACGCCGCGUGCGGGAUGACGGCCUUCGGGUUGUAAACCGCUUUCGCCUGUGACGAAGCGUGAGUGACGGUAAUGGGUAAAGAAGCACCGGCUAACUACGUG